GACGAACGCUGGCGGCGUGCUUAACACAUGCAAGUCGAACGGAAAGGCCCUGCUUUUGUUGGGUGCUCGAGUGGCGAACGGGUGAGUAACACGUGAGUAACCUGCCCUUGACUUUGGGAUAACUUCAGGAAACUGGGGCUAAUACCGGAUAGGAGCUCCUGCUGCAUGGUGGGGGUUGGAAAGUUUCGGCGGUUGGGGAUGGACUCGCGGCUUAUCAGCUUGUUGGUGGGGUAGUGGCUUACCAAGGCUUUGACGGGUAGCCGGCCUGAGAGGGUGACCGGCCACAUUGGGACUGAGAUACGGCCCAGACUCCUACGGGAGGCAGCAGGGGGGAAUAUUGCACAAUGGGCGGAAGCCUGAUGCAGAAACGCCGCGUGCGGGAUGACGGCCUUCGGGUUGUAAACCGCUUUCGCCUGUGACGAAGCGUGAGUGACGGUAAUGGGUAAAGAAGCACCGGCUAACUACGUG
This 468-nucleotide ribosomal RNA is filed under the name uncultured bacterium. RNAcentral describes it as "partial 16S ribosomal RNA". It matches the Rfam family "Bacterial small subunit ribosomal RNA", at positions 28 to 507 of the family's 1533-position model. The record is from RNAcentral.